GAUGAACGCUAGCUACAGGCCUAACACAUGCAAGUCGAGGGACCGGCGCACGGGUGCGUAACACGUAUCCAUCCUGCCCUUUACUCGGGGAUAGCCUUUCGAAUGAAAGAUUAAUACCCGAUCUUAAGGAUGGGGAUGCGUUACAUUAGGGUGUUGGUGAGGUAACGGCCCACCAAGCCUUCGAUGGAUAGGGGGUCUGAGAGUAAGGUCCCCAACAAUUGAACUGAGACACAGUCCACACUGCGACGGGAGGCAGGAGAGAGGAAUAUAAGGGAAGAGGCGGUAGCCUGAACCAGCCAAGUGGCGGAAGAGGUGAAGGCUUAGGAGUCGUAAGCUUCUUGUAUAUAAGAAGAUGUAUUAUAUGAAUAAGGAUCGGCUAACUACGUGCCAGCAGCCGCGGUAAUAC
RNAcentral lists this ribosomal RNA (406 nucleotides) under uncultured bacterium. RNAcentral describes it as "partial 16S ribosomal RNA". It matches the Rfam family "Bacterial small subunit ribosomal RNA", at positions 28 to 526 of the family's 1533-position model. The record is from RNAcentral.